UGAGCAAUUAUUCACUUACUCCCGACAGAC
Molecule: small RNA, 30 nt
Filed under: Bombyx mori (domestic silkworm)
Lineage: Eukaryota; Metazoa; Arthropoda; Insecta; Lepidoptera; Bombycidae
Description: piRNA piR-bmo-2081472
Source: RNAcentral